Molecule: ribosomal RNA, 873 nt
Filed under: Triticum aestivum (bread wheat)
Lineage: Eukaryota; Viridiplantae; Streptophyta; Magnoliopsida; Poales; Poaceae
Description: partial small subunit ribosomal RNA
Source: RNAcentral
AUGUCUAUGAUGGGAGAAUUAAAAUUCUUCUUAGGUCUUCAAAUUCGUCAACAACGCAAUGGCAUAUUCAUAUCUCAGGAGAAAUACCCCAAGGAUGUACUGAGGAAAUUCGGCAUGCAAGAUUGCAAAGGCGUCAAAAUUCCUACGCCCACAAAUGGCCAUCUGUGCACUGAUGAAAAUGGUAUUGACUUCGAUCAUAAGGUAUAUCGCUCCAUGAUUGGUUCUUUAUUGUACUUAUGUACAUCUAGGCCAGAUAUAAUGCUUAGUGUUUGCAUGUGUGCUCGAUUUCAAGCUACACCAAAGGAAUCACACCAUAAGGCUAUGAAGCAUAUUCUUCGAUAUCUAGCUCACACACCAACACUUGGAUUAUGGUACCCCAAGGGCUCGGCUUUUGAUCUCAUUGGAUAUUCUGACUCUGAGUAUGUUAGUGAUCGUGUGGACCGCAAGUCAACAUCUGGUACAUGUCAUUUCCUCGGACGAUCUUUGGUCUGUUGGUCCUCGAAGAAACAGAACUGCGUAUCACUAUCUACUGCUGAAGCUGAGUAUAUUGCCGUUGGUUCUUGUUGUGCUCAAUUGCUAUGCAUGAAGCAAACUCUCAAGGACUACGGCGUCAACAUGAAGAAUGUGCCUCUCUUCUGUGACAAUGAGAGUGCCAUCAAGAUUGCUCACAACCCAGUUCAGCACUCGAAGACUAAGCACAUUCAGAUUCGUCAUCAUUUUCUUCGUGAUCAUGUGUUGAAGGGAGACAUUUCUAUUGAACAUGUGAAGAAUGAAGAACAGCUAGCCAAUAUCUUCACAAAGCCCUUGGAUGAGAAGAGAUUUAGCAAGUUGCGGUGUGAGCUAAAUAUCCUAGAAUCUUUGAAUGUUCUCUGA